AGUUACCAGCACGUUAUGGUGGGCACUCUAAGGAGGACUGCCGGUGGACAAACCGGAGGAAGGUGGGGAUGACGUCAAGUCAUCAUGGCCCUUACGGCCUGGGCUACACACGUGCUACAAUGGUCGGUACAAAGGGUUGCCAAGCCGCGAGGUGGAGCUAAUCCCAUAAAACCGAUCGUAGUCCGGAUCGCAGUCUGCAACUCGACUGCGUGAAGUCGGAAUCGCUAGUAAUCGUGAAUCAGAAUGUCACGGUGAAUACGUUCCCGGGCCUU
This 272-nucleotide ribosomal RNA is filed under the name uncultured Pseudomonas sp. RNAcentral's name for it is "partial 16S ribosomal RNA". It matches the Rfam family "Bacterial small subunit ribosomal RNA", at positions 1113 to 1382 of the family's 1533-position model. The record is from RNAcentral. Lineage: Bacteria; Pseudomonadati; Pseudomonadota; Gammaproteobacteria; Pseudomonadales; Pseudomonadaceae.